AUUGAACGCUGGCGGCAUGCCUUACACAUGCAAGUCGAACGGCAGCACGGGUGCUUGCACCUGGUGGCGAGUGGCGAACGGGUGAGUAAUACAUCGGAACAUGUCCUGUAGUGGGGGAAAGCCGGGCGAAAGCCGGAUAAUUACCGCAUACGACCACCGGAUGAAAGGGGGGGACCUUCGGGCUUCGCGCAAUAGGGUGGGCGGAUGGCUGAUUAGCUAGUUGGUGGGGUAAAGGCCUACCAAGGCGACGAUCAGUAGCUGGUCUGAGAGGACGACCAGCCACACUGGGACUGAGACACGGCCCAGACUCCUACGGGAGGCAGCAGUGGGGAAUUUUGGACAAUGGGCGAAAGCCUGAUCCAGCAAUGCCGCGUGUGUGAAGAAGGCCUUCGGGUUGUAAAGCACUUUUGUCCGGAAAGAAAUCCUUGGCCCUAAUACGGUCGGGGGAUGACGGUACCGGAAGAAUAAGCACCGGCUAACUACGUG
Molecule: ribosomal RNA, 486 nt
Filed under: uncultured bacterium
Lineage: Bacteria
Description: partial 16S ribosomal RNA
Rfam family: Bacterial small subunit ribosomal RNA
Source: RNAcentral